Molecule: ribosomal RNA, 439 nt
Filed under: uncultured bacterium
Lineage: Bacteria
Description: partial 16S ribosomal RNA
Rfam family: Bacterial small subunit ribosomal RNA
Source: RNAcentral
CCUACGGGAGGCAGCAGUGGGGAAUAUUGCGCAAUGGGGGCAACCCUGACGCAGCAACGCCGCGUGCGGGAUGAAGGCUUUCGGGUUGUUAACCGCUUUCAGCAGGGAUGUCAUCGACAGUACCUGCAGAAGAAGCCCCGGCUAACUACGUGCCAGCAGCCGCGGUACUACGUAGGGGGCGAGGGUUAUCCGGAUUCAUUGGGCGUAAGGCGCGCGCAGGCGGGCUUGAAAGCGGGUCCUUUAAUUUUGGGGUGUAACCUCAAGUCGGGUUCCGGACUGCAAGCCUCGAGUGUGGUAGGGGAAGGCGGAAUUCCCGGUGUAGCGGUGGAAUGCGCAGAUAUCGGGAAGAACACCGAUAGCGAAGGCAGCCUUCUGGGCCACUACUGACGCUGAGGCGCGAAAGCUGGGGGAGCGAACAGGAUUAGAUACCCCAGUAGUC